Long non-coding RNA from Triticum dicoccoides, 753 nucleotides. RefSeq lists it as uncharacterized. The transcript is spliced from 4 exons. NCBI's taxonomy places the organism in Eukaryota, Viridiplantae, Streptophyta, Magnoliopsida, Poales, Poaceae. The record is from RefSeq and is a predicted model, not a curated record.
CCUGGUCUCUCCCAAAUCGCCGCCACCAACCGCCUCAUCCUCCUCCUCCUCCCACCUCGCCACCAGGCCUCCCCUCCCCUCCUCCCACAUCGCAGCUCUAGAGGCUACCGGAUCCUCCAUAUCCCCCGCCCACCCAUCCCUCUCAUCCCAUCUCUCUCUUGAUGCAUCUCCUCAUUGCGCCACCUGCGGCAGCUGAUUCAGGCGACAUCCGGCGAAUCCAGCCAUCGCGGGAAGCACAACCCGAGGUCUCGUCACACUGCGGAGCCCUCCCAUGCGGCUAGAACCGGUGCUCAUGACCACCAAAGCCCACCCGCGACCUUCCCCUGAUGGCUAGGUUUCGGGUGUCGGCUCCAGCGCUGGUGGCCAAGUCGUCCUCCUCUCGCCGGAGUCUGAUGGUCAAGUUAUUUAGGUCGAGGUAGUAGCUUGCUAAUGGUGGCUUUCACGUCCAGCUCAAAUAGUAGAGGACGUGGGCCAAUUGGAGGAAGCACAUACACCUUUCUUUUAGUGAGCAGGUUCCAAAGAAAGAAAUACUCAAUGCCAUUCGGUGGUUUUUAAUGUGCCAGUCUCUACAUUCAUACCUCCUUUCCCACUCUUAGUCAACUACCCCUAUCUCGCCAAUGGUGUACCUAUUGUUGUGUGAAAUUUAAUGCGACGCGUAGCACUCACCCAUUCAGGCACUAUCGAGAUGGAGGCCAACAUCAUGGACGGCUAGAUGUGCGAGUAGAUUUGUCCAAGAUACGGCAGUGUUCAUAG